AUUGAACGCUGGCGGCAGGCCUAACACAUGCAAGUCGAGCGGAUGAAGGGAGCUUGCUCCUGGAUUCAGCGGCGGACGGGUGAGUAAUGCCUAGGAAUCUGCCUGGUAGUGGGGGAUAACGUCCGGAAACGGGCGCUAAUACCGCAUACGUCCUGAUGGAGAAAGUGGGGGAUCUUCGGACCUCACGCUAUCAGAUGAGCCUAGGUCGGAUUAGCUAGUUGGUGGGGUAAAGGCCUACCAAGGCGACGAUCCGUAACUGGUCUGAGAGGAUGAUCAGUCACACUGGAACUGAGAAACGGUCCAGACUCCGACGGGAGGCAGCAGUGGGGAAUAUUGGACAAUGGGCGAAAGCCUGAUCCAGCCAUGCCGCGUGUGUGAAGAAGGUCUUCGGAUUGUAAAGCACUUUAAGUUGGGAGGAAGGGCAGUAAGUUAAUACCUUGAUGUUUUGACGUUACCAACAGAAUAAGCACCGGCUAACUUCGUG
RNAcentral lists this ribosomal RNA (484 nucleotides) under uncultured bacterium. RNAcentral describes it as "partial 16S ribosomal RNA". It matches the Rfam family "Bacterial small subunit ribosomal RNA", at positions 30 to 507 of the family's 1533-position model. The record is from RNAcentral.